CUCUUCCCCACCAUGGGCGCCCACUUGGCCACCACCUUCCUCCUCCUCCUCCUGGCCGCCCUCCCAGGGCUGCGGGCGGCCGUGGAGCUGAUGGAGUCCGGAGGGGGCCUCGUGACACCCGGGGGGUCCCUCACCCUCCGCUGCAAGGCCUCCGGCUUCACCUUCAGCAGCGUCACCAUGUUCUGGAUUCGACAGGCCCCUGGGAAGGGGCUGGAGAAUGUCGCGUUUAUUUACAGUGAUGGUGACAUAAGAUACGUGCCGUCGGUGAAGGGUCGCUUCACCAUCUCCAGGGACAACUCCCAGAGCACGGUCACGCUGCAGAUGAACAGCCUCAAGGAGGACGACACGGCCACCUACUACUGCGCCAAAGCUGAUGAUGGUAUUGGUGGUGCUGGUUGUUGUGGUGGACCUGACCCCCACAUCGUGACCAAACAGAACCCCAACCCCCGGGGUCAACUCCAGAGCCGCAGGGAUGUGGGGACACGGUGA
Calidris pugnax (ruff) is the source of this 489-nucleotide non-coding RNA. Lineage: Eukaryota; Metazoa; Chordata; Aves; Charadriiformes; Scolopacidae. The record is from the annotation of a RefSeq genome assembly.